Molecule: ribosomal RNA, 424 nt
Filed under: uncultured bacterium
Lineage: Bacteria
Description: partial 16S ribosomal RNA
Rfam family: Bacterial small subunit ribosomal RNA
Source: RNAcentral
AAUUUUGGACAAUGGGCGCAAGCCUGAUCCAGUCAUGCCGCGAGAGUGAAGUAGGCCAUCGGUUUGGAAAGCUCUUUCGGUCGGAAAGAAAUCGCGCAGGAUAAUACCCGGCGCGGUUGACGGUACCGUCAUAAGAAGCACCGGCUAACUACGUGCCUGCAGCCGCGGUAAUACGUAGGGUGCGAUCGUUAAUCGGAAUUACUGGGCGUAAAGCGUGCGCAGUCGGUUGAUUAAGACAGGCGUGAAAUCCCCGGGCUUAACCUGGGAACUGCGCUUGUGACUGGUCAGCUAGAGUACGGCAGAGGGGGGUGGAAUUCCACGUGUAGCAGUGAAAUGCGUAGAGAUGUGGAGGAACACCGAUGGCGAAGGCAGCCCCCUGGGCCGAUACUGACGCUCAUGCACGAAAGCGUGGGUAGCAAACAGG